RNAcentral lists this ribosomal RNA (565 nucleotides) under uncultured archaeon. RNAcentral describes it as "bacterial SSU rRNA". It matches the Rfam family "Archaeal small subunit ribosomal RNA", at positions 781 to 1345 of the family's 1478-position model. The record is from RNAcentral.
AACCAUGGGUCCCAGCAGUGCCGAAGGGAAGCCGUGAAGCUGGCCACCUGGGAAGUACGGUCGCAAGGCUGAAACUUAAAGGAAUUGGCGGGGGAGUACCACAACCGGUGGAGCCUGCGGUUUAAUUGGAUACAACGCCGGGAAUCUUACCGGAGGGGACAGCAGUAUGAAGGCCAGGCUAAAGACCUUGCCAGAUCAGCUGAGAGGAGGUGCAUGGCCGUCGCCAGUUCGUACCGUGAGGCAUCCUGUUUAGUCAGGCAACGAUCGAGACCCGCAGUCUUAUUUGCCAGCAUGCCCUUUGGGGUGUAUGGGUACAAUAAGACGACCGCCAGCGCUAAGCUGGAGGAAGGAGCGGGCUACGGUAGGUCAGCAUGCCCCGAAUCCUCCGGGAUACACGCGGGCUACAAUGGUCAGGACAAAAGGUACCGACCUCGAAAGAGUGAGGUAAUCCACAAACCUGAUCUCAGUCCGGAUCGAAGGCUGCAACUCGCCUUCGUGAAGAUGGAUCGGUAGUAAUCGUGACUCAAAAUGUCACGGUGAAUAUGUCCCUGACUCCUUGCACACA